Molecule: ribosomal RNA, 253 nt
Filed under: uncultured bacterium
Lineage: Bacteria
Description: partial 16S ribosomal RNA
Rfam family: Bacterial small subunit ribosomal RNA
Source: RNAcentral
UACGUAGGUGGCAAGCGUUGUCCGGAUUUACUGGGCGUAAAGCGCACGCAGGCGGAUGGUUAAGUAAGAAGUGAAAGGUUGGAGCUCAACUCCAACACUGCUUCUUAUACUGGCCGUCUUGAGUUCCGGAGAGGAAAGCGGAACUGCACGUGUAGCGGUGAAAUGCGUUGAUAUGUGCAGGAACACCAAUGGCGAAGGCAGCUUUCUGGACGAGGACUGGCGCUCAUGUUCGAAAGCCAAGGGAGCGAACAGG